RNAcentral lists this ribosomal RNA (253 nucleotides) under uncultured bacterium. RNAcentral describes it as "partial 16S ribosomal RNA". It matches the Rfam family "Bacterial small subunit ribosomal RNA", at positions 524 to 776 of the family's 1533-position model. The record is from RNAcentral.
UACGUAGGGGGCGAGCGUUGUCCGGAUUUAUUGGGCGUAAAGCGCGCGUAGGCGGCGUGGCAAGUCGGCCGUGAAAGCGCCAGGCUUAACCUGGCGAGGUCGGGCGAGACUGCUAGGCUAGAGGCAGGCAGAGGGCGGUGGAAUUCCGGGUGUAGUGGUGGAAUGCGUAGAGAUCCGGAGGAACACCAGUGGCGAAGGCGGCCGCCUGGGCCUGACCUGACGCUGAGGCGCGAAAGCGUGGGGAGCGAUCCGG